GUAUACGAGAGGUGCAAGCGUUAUCCGGAGUGAUUGGGCGUAAAGCGUCUGUAGGUGGUCUCGUAAGUCUAAUGUCAAAUACCAGGGCUCAACCUUGGACAGGCAUUGGAGAACCGCCAGACUCGAGUAUGGCAGAGGUUGAAGGAAUUCCUUGUGGAGCGGUGAAAUGCGUAGAUAUAAGGAAGAACACCAGCGGCGAAAGCGUUCGACUGGGCCUAUACUGACACUGAGAGACGAAAGCUAGAGGAGCAAAUAGCAUUAGAUACGCUAGUAGUUCUAGCUGUAAACGAUGGAAACUAGGCGCUGGUAAAAAUCAGUGCCGUAGCUAACGCAUUAAGUUUCCCGCCUGGGGAGUAUGCCCGCAAGGGUGAAACUCAAAGGAAUUGACGGGGGCCCGCACAAGCAGUGGAUUGUGUGGUUUAAUUUGAUGCAACGCGAAGAACCUUACCAGGGUUUGACAUGUCUAGAAUUCUUGCGAAAGUGAGAAGUAUUCAAUUGCAAGGUUGGCUUGAACUAUUGCUAUCAGCUUGUCUAAUUGCAUUAGUCCAUAACCAUUAGCUUUUGAGGGCUAGAACAACGGUGGUGCAUGGCUGUCGUCAGCUCGUACAUUGAUGCGUACGGUUAAGUCCUGCAACGAGCGCAACCCUCGUUCUUAGUUAAAUUAUCUCUAAGAAGACUGCCAGCGCAAGCUGGAGGAAGGUGAGGAUGACGCCAGUCAUCAUGCCCCUUAUGCCCUGGGCGACACACGCAAUACAAUGGUUAAGACAAUACGAAGCAACCCUGAUCAAAGAAAGGUGAGCGAAUCGUCAACUA
RNAcentral lists this ribosomal RNA (813 nucleotides) under Carteria sp. RCC2487. RNAcentral describes it as "bacterial SSU rRNA". It matches the Rfam family "Bacterial small subunit ribosomal RNA", at positions 521 to 1283 of the family's 1533-position model. Lineage: Eukaryota; Viridiplantae; Chlorophyta; Chlorophyceae; Chlamydomonadales; Chlamydomonadaceae. The record is from RNAcentral.